GAUGAACGCUGGCGGCGUGCUUAACACAUGCAAGUCGAACGGUGAAGCCAAGCUUGCUUGGUGGAUCAGUGGCGAACGGGUGAGUAACACGUGAGCCACCCGCCCUGGACUCUGGGAUAAGCGCUGGAAACGGUGUCUAAUACUGGACAUGAGCUCCUUCCGCAUGGGGGGGGUUGGAAAGAUGUUUCGGUCUGGGAUGGGCUCGCGACCUAUCAGCUUGUUGGUGAGGUAAUGGCUCACCAAGGCGUCGACGGGUAGCCGGCCUGAGAGGGUGACCGGCCACACUGGGACUGAGACACGGCCCAGACUCCUACGGGAGGCAGCAGUGGGGAAUAUUGCACAAUGGGCGGAAGCCUGAUGCAGCAACGCCGCGUGAGGGACGACGGCCUUCGGGUUGUAAACCUCUUUUAGCAGGGAAGAAGCUUUUGUGACGGUACCUGCAGAAAAAGCGCCGGCUAACUACGUGCCAGCAGCCGCCGUAA
RNAcentral lists this ribosomal RNA (482 nucleotides) under uncultured bacterium. RNAcentral describes it as "partial 16S ribosomal RNA". It matches the Rfam family "Bacterial small subunit ribosomal RNA", at positions 28 to 523 of the family's 1533-position model. The record is from RNAcentral.